This 2274-nucleotide unclassified non-coding RNA is filed under the name Hevea brasiliensis (rubber tree). The record is from RNAcentral. Lineage: Eukaryota; Viridiplantae; Streptophyta; Magnoliopsida; Malpighiales; Euphorbiaceae.
GUCAAAGUCUUUCCAGCCUCUAACUGCAAUGCUCCAAGCUCAACGGUCAAGCAACUUUCUUGGCCGAAUUUUCCCUCAUAAAUUCUUACACCAAACAAGAACAUUCACUGUCUACUCUUCCCUCCUCAAUCUCUGCAAAAAGCCCCAGCACCUUCAACAAAUUCAUGCAAGAUUUAUCCUCCAUGGCCUUCACCAGAACACCACACUCUCUUCCAAAUUGGUCGACUCAUAUGCCAAUCUUGGCCUCCUUUACAUUUCCAAACAAAUCUUCAAUUCUAUCUCCAAUCCCAAUACCCUUUUGUACAACACAAUUUUGAGAAACUUGGCCAAGUUUGGCGACUUUAAAAGUACCCUUUUUUUGUACCAGAAAAUGUGCUUAAAUUCCAUACAUACUGAUGAGGAAACAUACCCAUUUGUUUUAAGUUCAUGUUCUUGCUUGUUGGACGUUGUAAAUGGAGAGGCGAUUCAUGGGCAUCUCAUAAAAUUGGGUUUUGAGUCAUUUUAUUUGGUGGAUACUGCUUCGAUGGAGAUGCAUAGGAGUUUUGGUGAUCUUGAGAACGAAGGAGAGACAAUUGAUGGGAAGUCCAUUAAUGAUUUGGAUUAUUGGAAUUGCUUGAUUUUAGAGACCUCUAAAAGUGGGAAUACGACGAAAAGUUUAUGGUUUUAUGAAAGAAUGAGCAUGGAGAAAACUGAGUCCCUCUCUGUUACUGUUGUUAAGUUGCUGAGGUCAACCGUUGAAAUGGGCUCAUUAAGGGCAGGAAGGGCUAUUCAUUGUAUGGUUGUUGUGUGUGGCUUAUGUGAAGAUUUAUCUGUGAAUACUGCCCUGCUAACAAUGUACUCAAAGUUGAGGGGUUUAGCUGAUGCAAGGUUAGUAUUUGAGAAAAUGCCUGAGAAGGACUGUGUCGUGUGGAACAUUAUGAUAUCUGCAUAUUCUCAAAAUGGUUAUCCUGAGAAAUCCGUAGAUUUGCUGAGAUAUAUGGCGAAAUCUGGGGUCAGAGCUGAUAUGUUUACCGCACUUCCUGCUGUUUCCUCCAUCAGGCAGUUGAAAUCUAUUGAAUUGGGCAAAGAAAUGCAUGCUCAUGUGAUAAGAAAUGGGUCAGAUUGUCAAGUAUCAGUUCCUAAUUCUCUUAUUGACAUGUUCUGUGAAUGUGAUUGUUUGAACUAUGCUCAAAAGAUUUUCGAAUUGUUGUCAAUUAAGACUGCAGCUUCAUGGAGCUCAAUGGUUAAGGGAUAUGUAAACCAUGAUCGGUCUCUUGAUGCUUUGUGUCUCUUCUCCAAGAUGAAACUUGAUGGACCUAGGGUCGAUUUCAUCACAGUUAUUAACAUCUUGCCUGCUUGUGUGAAUGUUGGGGCGUUAGAGCAAGUUAAAUACCUUCAUGGAUACUCAAUUAAAUGUUGUAUAACUAAGCUAGCAUCUGUUAAUACGGCUCUGCUUAUCAGCUAUGCAAAAUGUGGAUGCAUAGAGAUGGCAAGGAAGCUUUUUGAUGAGGAGACUGUCAACAAGGAUAUAAUCACUUGGAACUCAAUGAUUAGUGCAUAUGCCAAGCAUGGAGCCUCGUCUGAGUGUUUCAAUUUGUACAGACAAAUGAAGCAAUCAAAUUUAGAACCAGAUGAAAUAACAUUUCUUGGGCUAUUGACAACUUGUGUUAAUACAGGGCUUGUUAAAGAAGGGCAGGAACUUUUCAAGGAGAUGAUGGAGACCUAUGCUUGCCAUCCCAGCCAGGAACACUAUGCUUGUAUGGUUGAUCUACUGGGUCGUGCUGGCCAUGUCAAUGAAGCCAGGGAGCUCAUAAAGACCAUGCCCUUCAAACCAGAUGCACCGGUUUGGGGUCCUUUGUUGAGUGCCUGUAAGAUGCAGUCUGAGACUAAGCUUGCAGAGUUUGCAGCUGAGAAGUUGAUAUCUAUGGAACCAAGAAAUGCAGGAAAUUACAUCCUGCUGUCAAAUAUAUAUGCUGCGGCGGGAAAGUGGGAUGGAGUUGCUAAAAUGAGAAGUUUUCUUAGAGACAGAGGUUUGAAGAAAACACCUGGUUAUAGCUGGCUAGAAAUAAAUGGAUGUGUACACGAGUUUCGUGUUGCUGAUCGAUCUCAUCCAAAAGCGGAUGAUGUACAUGCUGUGUUAAGAAACCUAGAAUUGGAAAUCAAGGAAGCAAGAGAAAAAUUUGAACUAACCAUCUUGAAUGCUGAUUUUCUCCAUUUUUGGUGAAUUUCUUGGUUUUUUUCUUUAGCUAUGAUGUUUCAUAUUCGACUAGUUCUAAUCGAAACAAAAUCAACUAA